UACGUAGGGCGCAAGCGUUGUCCGGAAUUAUUGGGCGUAAAGAGCUCGUAGGCGGUUUGUCGCGUCUGUCGUGAAAGCUUGGGGCUUAACCCCAAGUCUGCGGUGGAUACGGGCAGACUAGAGGCAGGUAGGGGAGAACGGAAUUCCCGGUGUAGCGGUGAAAUGCGCAGAUAUCGGGAGGAACACCGGUGGCGAAGGCGGUUCUCUGGCCUGUACUGACGCUGAGGAGCGAAAGCGUGGGGAGCGAACAGG
RNAcentral lists this ribosomal RNA (252 nucleotides) under uncultured bacterium. RNAcentral's name for it is "partial 16S ribosomal RNA". It matches the Rfam family "Bacterial small subunit ribosomal RNA", at positions 524 to 776 of the family's 1533-position model. The record is from RNAcentral.